UCCACGCCGUAAACGAUGGAUACUUGGUGUUGGAAGGUCGACCCUUUCAGUGCCGUAGUUAACGCGUUAAGUAUCCCGCCUGGGGACUACGACCGCAAGGUUGAAACUCAAAGGAAUUGACGGGGGCCCGCACAAGCGGUGGAACAUGUGGUUUAAUUCGAUGCAACGCGAAGAACCUUACCUGGGCUUGACAUAUGCAUGAAGCACUCGAGAAAUCGAGUGUUAUUUGGCUU
Molecule: ribosomal RNA, 233 nt
Filed under: uncultured bacterium
Lineage: Bacteria
Description: partial 16S ribosomal RNA
Rfam family: Bacterial small subunit ribosomal RNA
Source: RNAcentral